UGCCCUUUUUUUUUUUUUAGCAGCUUGCAAAACACAUGGCUUUGAGAUGGUGAGGAAAAUGCUUCUUUGCUGGAUGCUGAGAGAUUGCAGUGAGUAGGACUCUGAUCCGCAGAGGUGUCUGUGAGCUGUAGAUACAGAUCCCACUUCACAGGACAGGAAAGCGUUCUUGGAAGAGGAACCGAAGUUCAAAUGAAGAUGCACGAGGCCAAACCCUCGGCAGCCAGGGAGCAGGGCACACACAGGCUCUCCAGGUGUUGUCUGCUGCAGGGCUCUGCGCUGCCAUCGCUGCCGUUUCUCUGAAGUAUCCUCCAUCCUGGGCAGCAGUGCCUGCUGCAGAGCUGCCCCAGCCUUGCUGGGCACUGUCGGGUGUGGG
This 373-nucleotide long non-coding RNA is filed under the name Cyanistes caeruleus (blue tit). RNAcentral's name for it is "lncRNA (ENSCCEG00000021517.1)". The record is from RNAcentral. Lineage: Eukaryota; Metazoa; Chordata; Aves; Passeriformes; Paridae.